Molecule: ribosomal RNA, 253 nt
Filed under: uncultured prokaryote
Description: partial 16S ribosomal RNA
Rfam family: Bacterial small subunit ribosomal RNA
Source: RNAcentral
ACGGGGGGGGCAAGCGUUGUUCGGAAUUACUGGGCGUAAAGGGCUCGUAGGCGGCCAACUAAGUCGGACGUGAAAUCCCUCGGCUUAACCGAGGAACUGCGUCCGAUACUGGAUGGCUAGAGUGUGGGAGAGGAAUGCGGAAUUCCAGGUGUAGCGGUGAAAUGCGUAGAUAUCUGGAGGAACACCGGUGGCGAAGGCGGCAUUCUGGACCACGACUGACGCUGAGGUGCGAAAGCGUGGGGAGCAAACAGGA